GAAGCCCACCAGACCGCCGCUGGUGCAAUCUGGGAAACCAGGCACUGGAGGAACGUCCGGACUGCACAGGGCAGCGUAGCAGCUAACUGCUGUCCACCGUGAGGUGAGGAUUAGAGCAACAGAGACGAGUCGGAGCAGGCAGCAAGCCACCAAGGGUGUUUCACCCGAAGCGGGCGGCGCCCGCUUCGGGUGAAACGGGCAAUCUCUACGCGCAGCAACACCAAGUAGGCACACGUUGACGGGGCCCCCGGAGUGUGCGGGUAGGUGGCAUCGAGCCGGCGGGGCGACCCCCGGCCCAGAGUAAUGGCGGUCACGCGCGGGCAACCGCGUGCACAGAAUCCGGCUUAUCGGUGGGCUUCACAC
Molecule: RNase P RNA, 363 nt
Filed under: Pseudomonadota bacterium
Lineage: Bacteria; Pseudomonadati; Pseudomonadota
Description: Proteobacteria bacterium (activated sludge metagenome) RNase P RNA component class A
Rfam family: Bacterial RNase P class A
About the family: Ribonuclease P (RNase P) is a ubiquitous endoribonuclease, found in archaea, bacteria and eukarya as well as chloroplasts and mitochondria. Its best characterised activity is the generation of mature 5'-ends of tRNAs by cleaving the 5'-leader elements of precursor-tRNAs.
Source: RNAcentral